ACUUUUUUAGUAUAUUUAGUAUAUUUGACUUCCAAUCAAAAGGACUAAUAAUUUUAGAAAAAGUA
This 65-nucleotide transfer RNA is filed under the name Metopograpsus frontalis. Its description in RNAcentral is "tRNA-Gly". Lineage: Eukaryota; Metazoa; Arthropoda; Malacostraca; Decapoda; Grapsidae. The record is from RNAcentral.